RNAcentral lists this ribosomal RNA (449 nucleotides) under uncultured bacterium. RNAcentral's name for it is "bacterial SSU rRNA". It matches the Rfam family "Bacterial small subunit ribosomal RNA", at positions 958 to 1398 of the family's 1533-position model. The record is from RNAcentral.
AACGCGAAGAACCUUACCAGGCCUUGACAUGCAUCUCUAAACCGGUGAAAGCCGGCGAGUCCCGAAAGGGACAAUUUGCACAGGUGCUGCAUGGCUGUCGUCAGCUCGUGUCGUGAGAUGUUGGGUUAAGUCCCGCAACGAGCGCAACCCUUGUGAACUGUUGCUACCGAGCCGAGAGGCUCGAGCACUCUGUUCAGACUGCCUCGCUUAAACGAGGAGGAAGGUGAGGAUGACGUCAAGUCAGUAUGGCCCUUACGGCCUGGGCUGCACACGUACUACAAUGCCCAGCACAGAAUGAUCCGAGACCGCGAGGUGGAGGAAAUCUCUAAAACUGGGCCCAGUUCGGAUUGGAGGCUGCAAUUCGCCUCCAUGAAGCCGGAAUCGCUAGUAAUGGCGCAUCAGCUACGGCGCCGUGAAUACGUUCCCGGGCCUUGUACACACCGAGUAUA